GGGGCUAGAAGAUGGAGUUGGGUAAUGGGUUGGGGGACGAUGGUGGUGGUUAUGGGAAUGGAGUGGUGCUUUGAAGUGGUGCGGUUGGGUGGUUAAUGUCAUGGUGGUGGGCAAUGUAAGUUGCAGUGUUGUUGAUGUGAAGAUGGUGUGGGAGUCAAAAGAAACGACUGGAUGGUUUAAGGGAUGUGAGUGGUGCGAUUUAGAGAAGGGUUGAGAGUGAAAAUUGGUGUUGUUAGGAGAAGAUGGAGAUGGUGACUAGUGGAGCUGUGGGAGAUUACGAGAGUGGUAAGGUUAAUGUUGAUCCAAACAGAAGAAAAAUAAGAAAGGAGAAGGCAAAGAGGCAAAGGAGAG
RNAcentral lists this long non-coding RNA (351 nucleotides) under Gossypium raimondii (Peruvian cotton). Its description in RNAcentral is "long non-coding RNA (GRAI_LNC005850)". Lineage: Eukaryota; Viridiplantae; Streptophyta; Magnoliopsida; Malvales; Malvaceae. The record is from RNAcentral.